CAAACACACCAACGUUCUGAACUUUCAGGUGGAAACCACUGACGUGCCAAAAUUGCAACCAGGGCUGCAGGAGUCCUGCAGGCACACCCCAGUCGAUGGGCAGCCUGGUGCCAGCUGCCCAGCAGCCUGAAGCACAGCUCCAAAAUUAGAUGAGCCUGACCAUGCAGAUCCCCUAGCAGCUGGACAUUGGCUGCAGAGAAGUGGUGCUGCCAGAAAGCGCCUUCAUAAAAUGCUGUCAUUUUCGGGACACCCAGAGAAAGCACGCUAAAAGCUCUCAAACUGAUAGGCAUUAACGACAGGCAGGGCUUAUCCAAGCAGCUAAUGGGGUUUAAGUGGGAUAAGCCCAGGCCGACAGUGGCAGAUCCCAUCGGUCAAACACCUGGACAGAAAUACCUGCACCACACAGCCCCGGUGUUAUUGGCUCAGCACGAACCACAAGAGGCGUGAUGCAGUCCAGCAGGAUUAGUGGAAACCUCCACCUGCGAGAAUUUAGGUUGGGAGUGACAAUGUGUUCGGGACUGUUGGUGAAAGCCUCAGCCAUCUGUUACCCCUACUAAGAAGGGAAGACAAGAGAGACACAGGGCAACAGAGAGCACUGAGCUUUGUGGCUUUUCCAAGCCUCCAGGAUCAUCACUCACCUCAAGGGCAGCCAAGAAACAUUCCUGCACACUGGACCCUCAGUGUAAAGGGGAAAGGCCUGAAAGGGAAUGGGGGCAGCACAUCUCCCUGAAGGAUGGAGAGAGGUGACAAAGGUGGAGAUUCACAGAUAAAGGUAUCAUUCUGCCUACAAAUCCUUUCACUUUAUUUUAGUAGAGAAACCAGUACCCACCAAAGCAGACCUUACAGCCCAUCAUCCUCAGGCCUUCACUUUUGGGUUGAAGAAAUCAAUCCCCAGGCGUAGGCUCCAAGAGAUGUGCAUGCAACACAGAUGCUUAAUUUACUCCUCCAAAUAUGCAAAGAACAUGGCUCUGUGCAAUAAACAUCACUAAGAGCAUGGCUGAAGACCAGGAAAAUGAAUCGAUAAAGCUGCUGUUUUUCUGGAUAACACAUGGACUUUUUAAACCUGAAAUUAUUCUCCUUUCGGAUUACGGGAUUUUGUCAUCAGGGCCACUUCCAGGAAGUGGGAGGUGAUAGCAAAACACGGGGCUAAAAUUACGAAUAGAGGAGCGUUACCGUUUGCCCAUUUUGAAAUGAAAUGAGAGUGUAGGAGCUGCCACGUGCUGCCCACGGGCUCGUGGUGUGGCCAUACCUACUGACACUGGGCAAUCCUAAAUCACAGCGGCGUUACUGGGAGCUGGCUGAGAGCCAUUCAGAGAGGUCUGUCCAAGUCAGUCCCCUCCUGACACCACAAGAGGCCACGAGA
Molecule: long non-coding RNA, 1363 nt
Organism: Vidua chalybeata
Lineage: Eukaryota; Metazoa; Chordata; Aves; Passeriformes; Viduidae
Exons: 5
Source: RefSeq, a predicted model, not a curated record